CCCACUGUGUACUGGACGAAGGACACGCGAUCUUUUGUCUUGUGGAGUUUUAUAUAACACAGUAAGGUAAGUUAUUAAGAUACUUUUCUUUUAAAUCCACGUAGAUUGCACUUAUUGUUCUACAGCGCGAUACCUAGUUGGUUUUCGUUUUUGUUUGUUAUUCUUUUCUGUGAUGUAUUUUCGUGUAAGUGCAAGUAUUUUAUCAUCAGUCGCCAUUUAACGUAGAUAACGUUAAACAUGCAUGUUUUUACAGUAAGAGACGCAACAUGCAUGACGGGGAUGAUAAAAUAAUCAAUAAGAAGUUUGAAUCUUUAAAUGAAUGCUGAACCCCAAAGAAGCCAAACGAAGAUUAGAUGUUUUCUGUACUAAACCACAAAUCAGCAUUUGCUGAAGUCAUGUACCACACUUUGUCAACAAUAAAUGUUGUUUCUGCAAUCUGGAUAAAGAAUAAUAUAUUACUGCCUCUUGGAGAACAGCCGGCCGUACUCCAGACAGAGACAAAGACAUGAGGACAUCCAUUGCUUUUAAGUCCUAUACCAGACUAUGUUGUUCCAGCUGUCUGGGUAAAGACUGAUACAUUACUGCCUCUUGGAGAACAGCAAACCAUUCUCCAGACAGAGACAAAGACAUGGACAUCAAAACAGAAAAUUAAGUACUUGAUCUUGGAUUGUUUGGAGUGAACGCUGGAAAAUAAUGAAGCAGGAAAUUGACUAAAACUAUUUUUGUACUUGGCUGUAAGAAGUCCUUUGUGUGCACAGACAUGACUGGAGAUUAAAGUUACUAAAUGUUGCUUUUUUUCUAGCUGGUGACAUAACAUGGUAUUAUUUUCAAAUGUAUUUAUCUAAUACACAUUUGCACAUCUGUAAACAUUCAUUUUAUAUAGGAUGUUUUUUAUAUUUAACCAGUUGUUGUAUAUUGCUUUCUGUUAUUACAUCUGUUUUUUUUUUGCCUGUUUAUUGUUUAAAACAAUUAAGUUAAUG
Misgurnus anguillicaudatus (oriental weatherfish) is the source of this 980-nucleotide non-coding RNA. NCBI's taxonomy places the organism in Eukaryota, Metazoa, Chordata, Actinopteri, Cypriniformes, Cobitidae. The record is from RefSeq and is a predicted model, not a curated record.